UACGUAGGGGGCAAGCGUUGUCCGGAUUUAUUGGGCGUAAAGAGCGUGUAGGCGGCCAGGUAGGUCCGCUGUGAAAACUCGAGGCUCAACCUCGAGAUGUCGGCGGAAACCAUCUGGCUAGAGUCCGGAAGAGGAGAGUGGAAUUCCUGGUGUAGCGGUGAAAUGCGCAGAUAUCAGGAAGAACACCCGUGGCGAAGGCGGCUCUCUGGGACGGUACUGACGCUGAGACGCGAAAGCGUGGGGAGCAAACGGG
RNAcentral lists this ribosomal RNA (253 nucleotides) under uncultured bacterium. RNAcentral's name for it is "partial 16S ribosomal RNA". It matches the Rfam family "Bacterial small subunit ribosomal RNA", at positions 524 to 776 of the family's 1533-position model. The record is from RNAcentral.